CACCAGAAGGGUAGCAGCACCGAUCUUGGUGCCGACGCACUCAGAGGUAAACUUCUCGCCCUCCCUUGUCGAUUCAUGCACUCAGGUUCACCGAUUGAAAUAUACCAUACAAGAAAAAUCUUAAAAUCCUAAUGCUUGUGUUGUUUCUUUUGCAUGGACCUGAGAUCCGUUAAAAAAAAAGACGAUGGAACACAGGAAAUCGCAGAUCCAUCAUUUUUGAAAGGCAUCAAGGGCAAACGGACCUGAGUUGUGAGGCUCAGAUCCACUACAUGGAAGUAAGAGAAAAAUGGAAAUGAACUCUUGGACCAAACUGGAUUAAGCAAUGUGGACCCUUCUGCACUCGGACCCGAACUUUAGAAAAUGUAUUAGGAAUUUCGAAAUGGUCUGUAAUUAAUUCAUGGGGUGGGAGUGAGUGGGUCUGAGUGCAGAAGCUUCAUCAGAAUCGCCAUGGUAUGAUCUCUGAAAACCCCGCUUGUUAACUGAUGUGUGCUGUGACUGCUUAGAAACAUGCUUAGGGUUAUAUCUGUUAGAUGUGCAUGAUUAGGGAUGGCCUUAGAAACUUAGUCAUGUAAUGAUAGGUUAGGACCUCAUAUCUGCUCGUUUGCUUUGGAUUUCCGCCUUUCUGCCAUAUGAUACUAGUAGAACUGCUGUGGUUGAUGUCAAUGUAGAAUUGCUGCUGGAUGCAGGAUCCAGCCCUAUAUUAUCCGUCCGGGGCGAUCUCGUUUACCUUGCAUGUUUUGAAAUCAACCUGCAUAUU
Molecule: small RNA, 757 nt
Filed under: Malus domestica (apple)
Lineage: Eukaryota; Viridiplantae; Streptophyta; Magnoliopsida; Rosales; Rosaceae
Description: sRNA MD03G0065000
Source: RNAcentral